UCCCGGCUUUCCAACAGCCGGGGUUACUGAAGAGGCACACCAUCAUUGCCGGAAGUGCGGUAGGGACCUCCCUCCAAUCCAUGGCAGACAAAGCCGGAUUUUCGUUCUUGGCAGAACGUUGAUCCACUUACCGCGCGUUUGAGCGUGUCAG
Rhizobium sp. Leaf306 is the source of this 151-nucleotide regulatory RNA element. It matches the Rfam family "speF leader". Rfam says of the family: This family is a putative regulatory RNA structure that is found upstream of the speF gene encoding ornithine decarboxylase in Agrobacterium tumefaciens and other alpha-proteobacteria. NCBI's taxonomy places the organism in Bacteria, Pseudomonadati, Pseudomonadota, Alphaproteobacteria, Hyphomicrobiales, Rhizobiaceae. The record is from Rfam.